This 283-nucleotide unclassified non-coding RNA is filed under the name rhizosphere metagenome. Its description in RNAcentral is "partial ribosomal RNA internal transcribed spacer region". The record is from RNAcentral.
GUAGGUGAACCUGCGGAAGGAUCAUUACAAAAGGGGGAAAAUGGAUGAGUUGAAAUGAGUGGGGGGAGAGAGGGAGGGGAGGGGAGGAAGUGAGAGAGGGAGUGAGGAGAGAUGAGGGAGAGAGGGAGAGAGAUUGUCAUUGACAUUUUCACUCUUUUUCACUCUUCACUCUUCACUCUUCUUUCUUUCUCUUUCCCCUCUCUCUUUCCCCUCUCUCUUUAGCAACAUUGGGCCAAUUAUAUAUCUCUCUAUACAACUUAUAACAAUGGAUCUCUGGGCUCUU